AGGCUCACCUACUUGAAAGCCGGGUGGGGCAGGAGUGGGACAGAAGAGAUGAAGCUCUGUGCGUGGCCGUGUUCUCAGACUACUUGGAGGAGGGUGCCUGUGGAUUCGGCACCAGUGGAUCUGACACAAUAAGAUGGCAGAAGUUAGCUGGACUUAAUGCAGCCAGAUGGAGAAGAGUGCUUGAGGGCUCUCUGUGCUGUACUCCAUUUUCAGGCCACCACUCGUCUACUGCUCCAGGCAGAAGAGCUGGCCCCAAACCCACUGAAAUAAGUCGUUCUCUGGAGCACCCAGUUUUCUCAGUCUGAGGAUUUCCACAGCUGCCGUAGCUGCACGGCCAACGUACAGAGUGGAUUUGUGCCCAUGGCCUUGGAGGGAAGGGAGCAAUGGACCAGUUUGGGGGCUGUACAGACACCCUUGUGAAAGCCCACGUGUCAACAACCCGUGAUAACACCGCAUCAACCCACGGCAGAUAUUCCCUCUCUGAACGCUCCUCCAAGAGGAGGUAGGUGAUGUCACUUAUGGGGCAGAACUAAAGGUAGUAUGAGGACAUGCGAGCUCCCAGACAAGCUCCUUUUACACUGAGUUUUGGUUUUGGAGAAGAUGCUGCCCUUCAGACACACAUUUUCUCCUUUGGACAGUAUUCAACAUCUCAGUCCCAUUGCUUAAGGCCCACGGUAAGGUAGUGAUUAUAACUUCUGUUAUGAGAAAAUGUUCGGGUCACAGUUGACUUCUUCAAGGUCAUAUCCUUAUUAUUUGAGCUGAAUGGGAAACAUUAACAAAGUGAUUCCCUGGCCC
Molecule: long non-coding RNA, 795 nt
Filed under: Anas platyrhynchos (mallard)
Lineage: Eukaryota; Metazoa; Chordata; Aves; Anseriformes; Anatidae
Description: lncRNA (ENSAPLG00020005251.1)
Source: RNAcentral